AUUGAACGCUGGCGGCAUGCUUUACACAUGCAAGUCGAACGGUAACAGGUUAAGCUGACGAGUGGCGAACGGGUGAGUAAUGCAUCGGAACGUGCCCGAUCGUGGGGGAUAACGCAGCGAAAGCUGCGCUAAUACCGCAUACGAUCUGAGGAUGAAAGCGGGGGACCGUAAGGCCUCGCGCGAUCGGAGCGGCCGAUGUCAGAUUAGGUAGUUGGUGGGGUAAAGGCUCACCAAGCCAACGAUCUGUAGCUGGUCUGAGAGGACGACCAGCCACACUGGGACGGAGACACGGCCCAGACUCCUACGGGAGGCAGCAGUGGGGAAUUUUGGACAAUGGGCGUAAGCCUGAUCCAGCAAUGCCGCGUGCAGGAAGAAGGCCUUCGGGUUGUAAACUGCUUUUGUACGGAGCGAAAAGGCUCUCUCUAAUACAGGGGGCUCAUGACGGUACCGUAAGAAUAGGCACCGGCUAACUACGUGCCAGCCGCCGCUGUAA
RNAcentral lists this ribosomal RNA (493 nucleotides) under uncultured bacterium. RNAcentral's name for it is "partial 16S ribosomal RNA". It matches the Rfam family "Bacterial small subunit ribosomal RNA", at positions 30 to 523 of the family's 1533-position model. The record is from RNAcentral.